AAGCAAGAUAUAAAGGGCGCACGGGGGAUGCCUUGGUAGCAAAGGCCGAAGAAGGACGUGGCAGGCUGCGAAAAGCCCGGGGUAGGUGCCUAACAACCGAAGAUCCCGGGAUAUCCGAAUGGGGAAACCCGCAUGGAAGGAAAUCCAUGCAUCGCUUAGUGAAGAUAGUAGCUAAGCGAGGGGCACGAGGCGAAGUGAAACAUCUCAGUAGCCUCAGGAAGAGAAAUCAAGAGAGAUUCCCUAAGUAGCGGCGAGCGAACGGGGAAGAGCCCAAACCUAAGCUGUGUGAUAGCGGCCAGGCGUUGCAGUUUAGGGGUAGCGGGGCACAUACGGAGCCGGCUGGCAACAGGCUCAGCUAGUUACAAAACUUGUACAUAGCCGAACUGCAUGGGAAGGCAGACCGAAGAAGGUGAAAGUCCUGUAGGCGAAAUGUACAAGACUAGCUGGUAUGUGACCCCAAGUACACCGGGACACGAGGAAUCCUGGUGGAAUCAGGGGGGACCACCCUCCAAGGCUAAACACCUUUGCUAACCGAUAGCGCAUAGUACCGUGAGGGAACGGUGAAAAGAACCCCGGUGAGGGGAGUGAAAUAGAACCUGAAACCGUGCGUCCACAAGGAACGGGAGGCGACCCAUGGGUUGCCGACCGUGUGCCUAUUGAAGAAUGAGCCAGGGAGUUCAUUCCAGUAGCGAGGUUAAGGUGCUGAGGCACUGAAGCCGAAGGGAAACCGAGUCUGAAUAGGGCGACAAGCUGCUGGAUUGAGACACGAAGCCGGGUGAUCUACCCAUGUCCAGGGUGAAGGGCAGGUAAGACUGUCUGGAGGCCCGAACCCGUCAGGGGUAAAAACCUGUGGGAUGAGGUGUGGGUAGGGGAGAAAUUCCAAUCGAACCCGGGGAUAGCUGGUUCUCUCCGAAAUGCAUUGAGGUGCAGCCUUUGGGUAGUAGACCGUGGAGGUAGAGCACUGGUAGGGCUAGGGGGUCGUGAGGCCUACUGAACCCUGUCAAACUCCGAAUGCCAUGGUAGCUAGCCCAAGGAGUGAGUCUACGGGGGACAAGCUUCGUAGGCGAGAGGGGAACAUCCCAGACUAUCGGCUAAGGUCCCGAAGCUACGCUAAGUGUUCCAACCUAAAGGAAGUACGUCUGCAAAGACAGCCAGGAUGUUGGCUCAGAAGCAGCCAUCAUCUAAGGAGUGCGUAACAGCUCGCUGGUCGAGCGGAUGUGCGCCGAAGAUGUAACGGGGCUAAGCGUAGCACCGAAGCCAUAGACUUACUUUAGCCAAGGCUGAAGUAAGUGGUAGGAGAGCGUUCUGUGAGGGGCGAAGGUUACAUGUGAAUGUAGCUGGACUUCACAGAAGUGAGAAUCCUGGCAUGAGUAACGAUAAGACAGGUGAGAAUCCUGUCCGCCGGAAGUCCAAGGGUUCCUGGGGAAGGUUCGUCCGCCCAGGGUAAGCCGGAGCCUAAGGUGAGGCCGAAAGGCGUAGCCGAUGGAGAAACAGGUUAAUAGUCCGUGCCACUGAUUAUGUCGAUUGACCUGAAGGGGAGACGCAGGAAGGUAGCUACGCGUGCUAGUGGAAUAGCACGUUCUUAGCAGCGAGGCCUGGGUGUAGGGAAAACCGCACCCGAUGCAGGUUAGCGGCUAGGAGGAGUGUCCGUAAGGAUGCGAAGGUAGUGAUCCUACACUGCCGAGAAAAACCUCGUCAGGGAGACAUAGUUAGUGUCCGUACCCGAAACCGACACAGGUGGACUGGUAGACAAACUACCGAGGCGCGCGAGAGAACCCUCGCUAAGGAACUCGGCAAACUGACCCCGUAACCUCGGGAGAAGGGGUGCCUGCGAUAGGUGAAUCAAGAGAUUGAUGAGCCGAGGCAGGCCGCAGAGGAUAGGUCCUGGCGACUGUUUACCAAAAACACAGGUCUCUGCGAAGGCGGAAGCCGAAGUAUAGGGGCUGAGGCCUGGCCAGUGCUGGAAGGUUAAGGUGAGGGGUUAGCCCAGGAAUGGGCGAAGCUCCGAGCUGAAGCCCCAGUAAACGCCGGCCGUAACUAUAACGGUCCUAAGGUAGCGAAAUUCCUUGUCGGGUAAGUUCCGACCCGCAUGAAAGGUGUGACGACUGGGACGCUGUCUCAGCGAGGGACUCGGUGAAAUUACAAUGGGGGUGAAGAUGCCCUCUACCCGCGGCAGGACGGAAAGACCCCAUGGAGCUUUACUGUAGCCUGAUAUUGGGUUUUGGCAUGUGCUGCGCAGGAUAGGUGGGAGGCUGAGAAGGUACCCUUUCGGGGGUACUGGAGCCGACGGUGAGAUACCACCCUGCACGUGUUGGAACUCUAACAUGGAGCCGUGAAGCCGGCACAUGGACAGUGUCAGGUAGGCAGUUUGACUGGGGCGGUCACCUCCCAAAAGGUAACGGAGGCGUCCAAAGGUACCCUCAGGCGGAAUGGAAACCCGCUGAAGAGUGCAAAGGCAUAAGGGUGCUUGACUGCGAGAGGGACACCUCGAGCAGAGUGGAAACACGGGCUUAGUGACCCGGUGGUGCUGAGUGGAAAGGCCACCGAUCAACGGAUAAAAGUUACCCUGGGGAUAACAGGCUAAUGGGUCCCGAGAGUCCAUAUCGACGGAUCCGUUUGGCACCUCGAUGUCGACCCGUCUCAUCCUGGGGCUGAAGCAGGUCCCAAGGGUUGGGCUGUUCGCCCAUUAAAGAGGCACGCGAGUUGGGUUCAGAGCGUCGUGAGACAGCUCGGUCCUUAUCCGCCGCGGGCGCAGGAGUUCUGAGGGGAGCUCUUCCUAGUACGAGAGGACCGGAAGGGACCAGGCACUGGUGUACCAGUUGUACCGCCAGGUGCAGAGCUGGGUAGCCACCCUGGGAGGAAUAAGCGCUGAAAGCAUCUAAGCGCGAAGUCCAUCCCAAGAUAAGAACUCCCACAGAGAUGAUCUGGUAAGGGCCCGGGAAGACUACCCGGUAGAUAGGCUGGAAGUGGAAGCCCAGUAAUGGGUGUAGCUGACCAGUACUAAUAGCCCGAGGUCUUGCUUCA
Coprothermobacter proteolyticus DSM 5265 is the source of this 3024-nucleotide ribosomal RNA. It matches the Rfam family "Bacterial large subunit ribosomal RNA". The record is from Rfam. NCBI's taxonomy places the organism in Bacteria, Pseudomonadati, Coprothermobacterota, Coprothermobacteria, Coprothermobacterales, Coprothermobacteraceae.